AGCAGAGUGGCGCAGUGGAAGCGUGCUGGGCCCAUAACCCGGAGGUCCGUGGAUCGAGACCACGCUCUGCUA
Non-coding RNA from Trichobilharzia regenti, 72 nucleotides. The record is from Rfam. NCBI's taxonomy places the organism in Eukaryota, Metazoa, Platyhelminthes, Trematoda, Strigeidida, Schistosomatidae.